UGACCAUCCCUGACCAUCCCUGACCAUCACUGACCAGCACUGACCAUCCCUGACCAUCACUGACCCUCACUGACCAUCACUGACCAUCCCUGACCAUCCCUGACCAUCCCUGACCAUCACUGACCCUCACUGACCAUCCCUGACCAUCCCUGACCAUCCCUGACCAUCACUGACCAUCACUGACCAUCCCUGACCAUCCCUGACCAUCACUGACCAUCCCUGACCAUCACUGACCAUCACUGACCAGCACUGACCACUGACCACUGACCAUCACUGACCAUCACUGACCAUCACUGACCAUCACUGACCAUCACUGACCACUGCUCUGGGCUGUACAGGGAUCCCUCAGGUGUCCCCAGGUGUAUCCAGGUGUCUCAGGUGUAUCUCAGGUGUGUCCCCAUGUCCCCAGGUGUGUCCCAGGUGUCCCCAGGUGUCCCCAGGUGUGUCUCACCUGCAGCAGCAGGUGACAGAUCUCCAGGUGUCCCUUCUGCGCGGCCGCGUGCAGCGCCGAGCGCUUGCUCUGGGCGUCGCUCUGGAAAUUCGGGUCCAGGUUGUCCACUGGGAGAGGGGGGAGGGGCGUCAGGACCCCCAAAAUCGGCACCGGGACCCCCGAAAACGGGAUCGGGACCCCCAAAAACUGGAUUGGGACCCCCAAAAAUGGGAUCGGGACCCCCGAAAUUGGGAUUGGGACCCAAAAAAAAUGGGAUUUGGACCCAAAAAAACGGGAUUGAAACACAAAAUUAUGGGAUCGGAACCCAAAAAAAUGGGACUGGGACCCCAAAAAUCGGGAUCAGGACCCCCAAAUUUGGGGUCAAGACCCCCAAAAUGGGAUUGGGACCCCCAAAAUUGGGAUCAGGGAUGCAAAAAAUGGGAUGGGGAUGCCCAAAUUUGGGAUAGGGACCCAAAAAAUGGGACUGGGACCCCCAAAAUCGGGAUCAGGACCCCCAAAUUUGGGAUUAGGGACCCAAAAAAACGGGAUUGGGACUCAAAAAAUGGGAUCAGGACCCCCGAAAUCAGGAUUGGGACCCCCAAAUUUGGGGUUGGGACCCAAAAAAACAGAAUUUGGGCCCAAAACUCGGGGUCAGGACCCCCAAAUUCCCACCCAGGACCCCUCAAACCAACCCCAAAACCCCCCCAGGGGCUCCCAGAGGUUUUUGGGGUCCCCCCGAUGGAUUUUGGGGGUCCCCAGGUGGAUUUUGGGGGUCCCCCCGAUGGAUUUUGGGGUCCCCCCGGGUGUUUUUGGGGUCCCCAGGUGGAUUUUUGGGGUCCCCAGGUGGAUUUUCCCCCCAAAUUUUCACAUUUUCCCCCCAGAUUUUGGGAUUUUCUCCGGGGUUUUUCCCCUCCCCCCAUAUUUUGGGGUCCCCAGGUGUUUUUUGGGUCCCCCCAGGUGGAUUUUUGGGGUCCCCCCGGGUGUUUUUGGGGUGCCCAGGUGGAUUUUGGGGUCCCCAGGGUGGAUUUUCCCCCCAAAUUUUCUCAUUUUCCCCCCAGAUUUUGGGAUUUUCUCGGGGGUUUUUCCCCUCCCCCCAUAUUUUGGGGUCCCCAGGUGAAUUUUUGGGGUCCCCCCGCGUGUUUUUGGGGUCCCCAGGUGAAUUUUUGGGGUCCCCAGGGUGGAUUUCCCCCCAAAUUUUCACGUUUUCCCCCCAGAUUUUGGGAUUUUCUCGGGGGUUUUUCCCCUCCCCCCAUAUUUUGGGGUCCCCCCGGGUGUUUUUGGGGUCCCCCCAGGUGGAUUUUGGGGUCCCCCCGGGUGUUUUUGGGGUCCCCCCGGGUGUUUUUGGGGUCCCCGGGUGUUUUUGGGGUCCCCAGGUGGAUUUUGGGGGUGCCCAGGUGGAUUUUGGGGUCCCCAGGGUGGAUUUUCCCCCCAAAUUUUCACGUUUUCCCCCCAAAUUUUCUCAUUUUCCCCCCAGAUUUUGGGAUUUUCUCGGGGGUUUUUCCCCUCCCCCCGUAUUUUGUGGUGCCCAGGUGGAUUUUGGGGGUGCCCAGGUGGAUUUUGGGGCCCCAGGGUGGAUUUUGGGGUCCCCAGGGUGGAUUUUCCACCCAAAUUUUCACAUUUUCCCCCCAAAUUUUCACAUUUUCCCCCCAGAUUUUGGGAUUUUCUCCGGGGUUUUUCCCCUCCCCCCGUAUUUUGGGGUGCCCGGGUGGAUUUUGGGGGUCCCCAGGUGGAUUUUGGGGUCCCCCCGGGCGUUUCUGGGGUCCCCACUCACGCAGCAUGAGGAUGACCCUGCCCAGCUCCCCCUGUUUGACGCUCAGGUAAAGCUGCCGGGGGUGGAAACGGAGCUUCUUCCUCCUGGGGGGAUG
Molecule: long non-coding RNA, 2295 nt
Filed under: Cyanistes caeruleus (blue tit)
Lineage: Eukaryota; Metazoa; Chordata; Aves; Passeriformes; Paridae
Description: lncRNA (ENSCCEG00000012727.1)
Source: RNAcentral